RNAcentral lists this ribosomal RNA (390 nucleotides) under Tenualosa ilisha (Hilsa shad). RNAcentral describes it as "partial 12S small subunit ribosomal RNA". It matches the Rfam family "Bacterial small subunit ribosomal RNA", at positions 794 to 1384 of the family's 1533-position model. Lineage: Eukaryota; Metazoa; Chordata; Actinopteri; Clupeiformes; Clupeidae. The record is from RNAcentral.
GCCUUGCCGUAAAUUUAGAUGUUUUUCUACAACAAACAUCCGCCUGGGGACUACGAGCGCUAGCUUAAAACCCAAAGGACUUGGCGGUGCUUCAGACCCCCCUAGAGGAGCCUGUUCUAGGACCGAUAACCCCCGUUUAACCUCACUACUCCUUGCUCCCCCCGCCUAUAUACCGCCGUCGCCAGCUUACCCUAUGAAGGCACCACAGUAAGCAGAAUGGGUACUACCCAGAACGUCAGGUCGAGGUGUAGCGUACGAAGUAGGAAGAAAUGGGCUACAUUAUCUGAUACAGAUCACUCACGGAAGGCUGCCUGAAACAGACAGCCCGAAGGCGGAUUUAGCAGUAAGGAAAGACUAGAGCGCUUCCCUGAAGUUGGCUCUGAAGCGCGC